CCUACGGGAAGGCAGCAGUGAGGAAUAUGCACAUGGCGAAAGCUGAUGCAGCACGCCGCGUGCGGAUGACGCUCGGGUGUAACGCUUUCAGUCGACGAAGCGCAAGUGACGGUAGAACAGAAGAAGGACCGGCCAACUACGUGCCAGCAGCCGCGGUGAUACGUAGGGUCCGAGCGUGUCCGGAAUUAUUGGGCGUAAAGGGCUUGUAGGCGGUUCGUCACGUCGGAAGUGAAAACUCAGGGCUUAACCCUGUGCUGCUUCCGAUACGGGCAAACUAGAGGAAUGCAGGGGAGAACGGAAUUCCUGGUGGAGCGGUGGAAUGCGCAGAUAUCAGGAGGAACACCGGUGGCGAAGGCGGUUCUCUGGGCAUUUCCUGACGCUGAGAAGCGAAAGCGUGGGGAGCAAACAGGCUUAGAUACCCUGGUAGUCCACGCCGUAAACGGUGGGCACUAGGUGUGGGGAACAUUCCACGUUCUCCGUGCCGAAGCUAACGCAUUAAGUGCCCCGCCUGGGGAGUACGGCCGCAAGGCUAAAACUCAAAGGAAUUGACGGGGGCCCGCACAAGCGGCGGAGCAUGCGGAUUAAUUCGAUGCAACGCGAAGAACCUUACCUGGGUUUGACAUAUACCGGAAAGCUGCAGAGAUGUAGCCCCCGCAAGGUCGGUAUACAGGUGGUGCAUGGCUGUCGUCAGCUCGUGUCGUGAGAUGUUGGGUUAAGUCCCGCAACGAGCGCAACCCUCGUCCUAUGUUGCCAGCGGAUAAUGCCGGGGACUCAUAGGAGACUGCCGGGGUCAACUCGGAGGAAGGUGGGGAUGACGUCAAGUCAUCAUGCCCCUUAAGUCCAGGGCUUCACGCAUGCUACAAUGGCUGGUACAAAGGGCUGCAAUACCGCAAGGUUGAGCGAAUCCCAAAAAGCCAGUCUCAGUUCGGAUUGGGGUCUGCAACUCGACCCCAUGAAGUCGGAGUCGCUAGUAAUCGCAGAUCAGCAACGCCGCGGUGAAUACGUUCCCGGG
Molecule: ribosomal RNA, 1012 nt
Filed under: uncultured bacterium
Lineage: Bacteria
Description: bacterial SSU rRNA
Rfam family: Bacterial small subunit ribosomal RNA
Source: RNAcentral